This 540-nucleotide ribosomal RNA is filed under the name Vibrio azureus. RNAcentral describes it as "partial 16S ribosomal RNA". It matches the Rfam family "Bacterial small subunit ribosomal RNA", at positions 76 to 619 of the family's 1533-position model. Lineage: Bacteria; Pseudomonadati; Pseudomonadota; Gammaproteobacteria; Vibrionales; Vibrionaceae. The record is from RNAcentral.
ACGAUAACGGCGUCGAGGGCGGACGGGUGAGUAAUGCCUAGGAAAUUGCCCUGAUGUGGGGGAUAACCAUUGGAAACGAUGGCUAAUACCGCAURAUGCCUACGGSCAAAGAGGGGGACCUUCGGGCCUCUCGCGUCAGGAUAUGCCUAGGUGGGAUUAGCUAGUUGGUGAGGUAAGGGCUCACCAAGGCGACGAUCCCUAGCUGGUCUGAGAGGAUGAUCAGCCACACUGGAACUGAGACACGGUCCAGACUCCUACGGGAGGCAGCAGUGGGGAAUAUUGCACAAUGGGCGCAAGUSWAWGCAGCCAUGCCGCGUGUGUYAAGAAGGSCUUCGGGUUGUAAAGSACUUUCAGUCGUGAGGRAGGKRGKGKAGKUAAUAGCUGCAUUAUUUGACGUUAGCSACAGAAGAAGCACCGGCUAACUCCGUGCCAGCAGCCGCGGUAAUACGGAGGGUGCKAGCGUUAAUCGGAAUUACUGGGCGUAAAGCGCAUSRGGUGGKUUGUUAAGUCAGAUGUGAAAGCCCGGGGCUCAACCUCGGA